GAUGAACGCUGGCGGCGUGCCUAAUACAUGCAAGUCGAGCGAAGCGGGGCCGGGUGAGUAACACGUGGAUAACCUCCUAUAAGACUGGGAUAACUUCGGGAAACCGGAGCUAAACCGGUUACUUAUAGCUGGAUCCGCGCUGCAUUAGCUAGUUGGUAAGGUAACGGCUUACCAAGGCAACGAUGCAUAGCCGACCUGCGAGGGUGAUCGGCCACACUGGAACUGAGACAGGUUCCAGACUCCUAGGGGGGGCAGCAGUAGCGAAUCUUCCGCAAUGGGCGAGAGCCUGACGGAGCAACGCCGCGUGAGUGAUGAAGGUCUUCGGAUCGUAAAACUCUGUUAUUAGGGAAGCGGUACCUAAUCAGAAAGCGACGGCUAACUGCGUGCCAGCAGCCGCGGUAAUUC
Molecule: ribosomal RNA, 405 nt
Filed under: uncultured bacterium
Lineage: Bacteria
Description: partial 16S ribosomal RNA
Rfam family: Bacterial small subunit ribosomal RNA
Source: RNAcentral